RNAcentral lists this small RNA (650 nucleotides) under Pongo abelii (Sumatran orangutan). RNAcentral's name for it is "processed transcript". Lineage: Eukaryota; Metazoa; Chordata; Mammalia; Primates; Hominidae. The record is from RNAcentral.
CAGGAGUGAGAAGGAAUUCAGGGAGAGCAAAGGAGCCAGUGCUGGGAUGCUGCUUGUUGGUUGAGGAAAACCUCAGGGCCGGAGGGCCAGGCCGGAGCUCAGGUCUCUGCUGACAGGGGAGGUUCAAGGAAGACGUAGUUAUCUCCCCUCCCCACUUACGCGAGGAGAGAGAGUCCCCUUGCUGGGACAGCCAGCUCACUUCCGAGGACAUCCCCUCCUGGCUUCUCCCACUUCCAAGUCUGCAGCGCGUGGGCUUCUCUGCCGAUGGGCCCGGGUUGGGGUUAAGGUGGGCAUCCUCCAGGUACAAUAAGCCUGAAGAGCAGCUUUCAGUGCAGACGGGGCUGCGGAGUGACACUGGCUGGGCACCUGCCCCACGACCAAUGACAAGGAUUUCCAGCCGAAUGCUUUAUUCCCAUAGGGAUCUGGACCUAUGCCCAAGAUAUAAAUACUACACUUUUUUUUUUUUUUACUGACAUUGUGAAAUUCUCCCCAUAGCUUUUGCCAUUCAAGCAACAUUGUGGUCUUUCUUCCCCGCCACGUGUGUGGGAAUGAUUGAGUCCUGUUUGCAGGCUGCAGAGGAGCUCUCCCUUCGCUAGUACUUUCUCUAAAGUACUAGUCUAGUAAAAUUUAUUCUUGUUAGGUCAACAAAA